GAGAUAUCAAUUAGCUAUGGGAACAAGGGAAAUGAGGAACUGCUGUACCUGUAUGGAUUCGUCAUGAAUGAUAAUCCUGAUGACUACCUCAUGGUUCAUUAUCCGGUGGAAGCUAUUCAAAACGUUGAUUUCUCAGAUUCGAAAGCUCAACUUCUUGAAGCACAGAAAGCUGAAUUGAGAUGUCUCUUACCCCGAAGUUUGCUAAAUCGCGGAUUUUUCCCUCCAUCCAACUCAUCUGAGGAAGAUAAAGAUAAACCCACUUUUUGAAUGCAUUGAGAACCUUAGCAAUGAAAGAAAAUGAGCUUUAUCGUGUUUCUUCUCUACUUGAGGAGCUUGUUGGAUCUGGAGGAGAAAGGCAGCCAACUGACACAGAAGUUCAAGCAGCAGUAUGGGAGGCUUGUGGAGAUUCUGGAGCUUUACAACUUCUUGUUGAUCUGCUUAACAUGAAGAUGAUGGAUCUGGAAGAGGGUUCAGGAACAGAGGAGAAUGACACUGAAUUACUCGAGAAAGCUCGCACUGCAGAAACCUCACAAGAUUGCAAAGAGACCAGUGACAUUGCCCAGAAUCAUUUGCUGAGUAGAAAUAAGCAAUCUAGUAUAAUAUACAGGCGGGGGCAGAAACAACUAACUCGUCUCUUCAUUAAGGAAGCAGAGCACGCGUUGCAGUUAGCAUUGACCGAAGAACUCUAGAUAAAUCUAACCCAAGAUUUUACAUUCUGCAAGAUAGCUAUUUGAGCAAAUAUUUAGGUAAUGAUUGAAAUGUCAAGCCGGGCCUGCAUUUCAG
This 783-nucleotide unclassified non-coding RNA is filed under the name Hevea brasiliensis (rubber tree). Lineage: Eukaryota; Viridiplantae; Streptophyta; Magnoliopsida; Malpighiales; Euphorbiaceae. The record is from RNAcentral.